Molecule: ribosomal RNA, 468 nt
Filed under: uncultured bacterium
Lineage: Bacteria
Description: partial 16S ribosomal RNA
Rfam family: Bacterial small subunit ribosomal RNA
Source: RNAcentral
GACGAACGCUGGCGGCGUGCUUAACACAUGCAAGUCGAACGGAAAGGCCCUGCUUUUGUGGGGUGCUCGAGUGGCGAACGGGUGAGUAACACGUGAGUAACCUGCCCUUGACUUUGGGAUAACUUCAGGAAACUGGGGCUAAUACCGGAUAGGAGCUCCUGCUGCAUGGUGGGGGUUGGAAAGUUUCGGCGGUUGGGGAUGGACUCGCGGCUUAUCAGCUUGUUGGUGGGGUAGUGGCUUACCAAGGCUUUGACGGGUAGCCGGCCUGAGAGGGUGACCGGCCACAUUGGGACUGAGAUACGGCCCAGACUCCUACGGGAGGCAGCAGUGGGGAAUAUUGCACAAUGGGCGGAAGCCUACUGCAGCAACGCCGCGUGCGGGAUGACGGCCUUCGGGUUGUAAACCGCUUUCGCCUGUGACGAAGCGUGAGUGACGGUAAUGGGUAAAGAAGCACCGGCUAACUACGUG